GAGAGCAAAAAAGCAGAAGCACAGGCACUUCCUGAACUGAAAGUUUAAGACAAACUCUCAGAAAGAGAGAGAGAGAUAGAAAGAGAGACAAAGAGAGAGCAAGGGGCUUUCUGAUCUUUAAGAAAUUUUCCUGACUUUUGUGGACUAUCUGCUUAACUCGCUUUGCUCUAGAGUAGUGUGAUUUAAAUGUUGUUAUAUUCUGUAGCAUUGUAUGUAGCAUCUUAUAGCGUUGGUCUUUGCUUAGUUGUUCUCUCAGCUGAUUAUUCAGGAGUAGUUUCAGUCUCCCUUAAGGUGUGAAUGGUGGGCAGGGCUUGCUUAUUUAAAUUGAAGGUUUGUACAUGGUGGUAGGUGGGCGCUGGAGUUACUAGUCUGCUGUAAGGAAAACUGAUUUUAUCUCUGCUUUAGAUUUCCACUACUCCUUUGAUUUUCUCACGCUAACAGAGACCUGGGUAUCCCCACAGAACAUUGCUACACCAACUGCUCUGUCCUCUGCCUAUGCUUUCUCUUACUCUUCCCUCCUGAAUCUUCUGGACUCAGUCCCCACACACAAAGGAGGCAAUAUCCUGGACAUGGUUUUCACCCGUCCUUCCCCAGCUACAGACAUGACUGCUACACCACAACACAUCUCCGAUCAUCACCUGAUGUGUUGCACAACAAUCAAAGAGAGCUAAGAUCAUCUAAGAGGAAGAAAUAACAACUUGAUGCAGAUCUUGCUUCUCACCGUUCACUCCUGGCCAAGUUCUCCUCAGAUGUGUCUUCUGCCAAGACUUCCUUCUGCAAGGAAAAGCUCAAAGCUUUGUCACAAGACCCUCAGAAGCUCCACAACAUCAUCUCUUCUCUACUCACCCCUGGCUCCACCUGCUUCAUCCUCCCUGACUGCAGAAGACUUUGCUUCUUUCUACCAUGAGAAGAUUGAGAGAAUCUGCAGGACAUUCACUUCUGCCCCGACUGCACUUACAUCUCACAGUAGGAUUCCCCUACUCCUUCGUUGUCGCAUUUCUCAACUGUAGCAGCAGAAGAGAUUUUACAACUCAACCAGUCUUGCCGUCCAGAUUUUACAACUGAUCCACUCCGUUCCACUAUGCUCCAGACCAUCUCGCAAAACCUUCUGCCCUUCAUCACCGCUAUCAUCAAUAGAUCCAUAGCAUCUGGUCACGUACCAACUACCUUCAAGAGAGCAAGGGUUAUUCCCAUCCUAAAGAAACCUGCUCUGGAUCCAUCAGACAUCAGUAUCUACAGACCGGUAUCACUUCUCUCGUUUCUUUCUAAAAUUCUUGAACGCUUUGUCUAUAAUCUCUCACAGACUCUGACAGGCUGAAGUUUGCUCUUGGUUGAAUAAAGAACAAACGUAAUUAACUUGCAUUCAUAACAAUGACAUGACAUUUAGGCUGUGUCCCAAAUCACAGAUUUAUACUUUGCACUAAAAGUAUGCACUUUUUUUUCGAGGCUUUGUGUGCUUUAAGACAAUAUUAAAUGUGCUUUAAGACAAUAUUAAAUAUUACUCUUAGAAUAAAAUGAAAUGGAACUGAAUUAAAACGUCACGUAAAGAAAGAGGCGUUUUUUUUUUGCCUAGUUACUGUAAAUGAACUCCUUUUUGUAUUUCAUUCAUGAUUCCUUUUUAUUUAUUUUAUUUCCCUUUGAGUUCUUUUUUUUCUUCACAUUUACACCUUUAUAAAAAUCUUAAAACUUAGUAAAGCAAACUCAGUUCGGUUUAAUUCUAUUUUACUUGUAUAGCACUUUUACCAAUGGACGGUGCCUCAAAGCAGCUUUACAGAAAUUCUGAAAUUUCUGUAAAAAUUUAUAUUGGUCUUUAAUGAGGAAGUCUGAGGUGACGGCGGUGAUGAAAAACACCCUGAGACGAUAUGAGGAAGAAACUUUGAGGCUCAAAAGGGAAUUUCAUCCUCAUCUGGGUUAAACUAGAGAUUGAGAUUAUAAAUUAUUUUCUUCUACAUCAGUAUAUAGUCAGGUGGACAGAGUGCAUGAGCAUUUCUGAAUUCAUUAUAGAUUUAACAUGAAAUUAUGGAGACUCGAGGAAACUUUAUUUCUAUUAAAUUAAAUCCUAGCUUUUCAUGCAUAUAAAGCAGUGUGUUUAAGAGUUUAUCAAUCUUUGGAGAAGGUGAAAAAAAAGGGUCUCUAUAAACAGGCAAGUAUUAAGGGUUGCCAGAAAAUACGUUUCAUGGGUUUAUAGAAAUUCAUUGUACAAAAAUUUCAUUGUAAUGUUAUAAAUAAAUAAA
This is a long non-coding RNA of Tachysurus vachellii, 2234 nucleotides long. RefSeq lists it as uncharacterized. NCBI's taxonomy places the organism in Eukaryota, Metazoa, Chordata, Actinopteri, Siluriformes, Bagridae. The transcript is spliced from 3 exons. The record is from RefSeq and is a predicted model, not a curated record.